This 253-nucleotide ribosomal RNA is filed under the name uncultured bacterium. RNAcentral describes it as "partial 16S ribosomal RNA". It matches the Rfam family "Bacterial small subunit ribosomal RNA", at positions 524 to 776 of the family's 1533-position model. The record is from RNAcentral.
UACGAAGGGUGCAAGCGUUACUCGGAAUUACUGGGCGUAAAGCGUGCGUAGGUGGUUCGUUAAGUCUGAUGUGAAAGCCCUGGGCUCAACCUGGGAAUGGCAUUGGAAACUGGCGACCUAGAGUGCGGUAGAGGGUAGUGGAAUUCCCGGUGUAGCAGUGAAAUGCGUAGAGAUCGGGAGGAACAUCUGUGGCGAAGGCGACUGCCUGGACCAGCACUGACACUGAGGCACGACAGCGUGGGGAGCAAACAGG